UACGGGGGGAGCAAGCGUUGUUCGGAUUUACUGGGCGUAAAGGGCGCGUAGGCGGUCAGCACAAGUCAGUUGUGAAAUCUCCGAGCUUAACUCGGAAAGGUCAACUGAUACUGUGCGACUAGAGUGCAGAAGGGGCAACUGGAAUUCUCGGUGUAGCGGUGAAAUGCGUAGAUAUCGAGAGGAACACCUGCGGCGAAGGCGGGUUGCUGGGCUGACACUGACGCUGAGGCGCGAAAGCUAGGGGAGCAAACGGG
This 254-nucleotide ribosomal RNA is filed under the name uncultured bacterium. RNAcentral describes it as "partial 16S ribosomal RNA". It matches the Rfam family "Bacterial small subunit ribosomal RNA", at positions 524 to 776 of the family's 1533-position model. The record is from RNAcentral.